UAGGGAAUCUUCGGCAAUGGACGGAAGUCUGACCGAGCAACGCCGCGUGAGUGAAGAAGGUUUUCGGAUCGUAAAGCUCUGUUGUUAGAGAAGAACGUUGGUAGGAGUGGAAAAUCUACCAAGUGACGGUAACUAACCAGAAAGGGACGGCUAACUACGUGCCAGCAGCCGCGGUAAUACGUAGGUCCGGAGCGUUGUCCGGGUUUAUUGGGCGUAAAGCGAGCGCAGGCGGUUCUUUAAGUCUGAAGUUAAAGGCAGUGGCUUAACCAUUGUACGCUUUGGAAACUGAAGGAAUUGAGUGCAGAAGGGGAGAGGGGAAUUCCAUGUGUAACGGUGAAAUGCGUAGAUAUAUGGAGGAACACCGGUGGCGAAAGCGGCUCUCUGGUCUGUAACUGACGCUGAGGCUCGAAAGCGUGGGGAGCAAACAGG
RNAcentral lists this ribosomal RNA (429 nucleotides) under Bacillota bacterium. Its description in RNAcentral is "Firmicutes bacterium partial 16S ribosomal RNA". It matches the Rfam family "Bacterial small subunit ribosomal RNA", at positions 355 to 776 of the family's 1533-position model. Lineage: Bacteria; Bacillati; Bacillota. The record is from RNAcentral.